This 73-nucleotide transfer RNA is filed under the name Bacteroidetes bacterium ADurb.Bin123. Its description in RNAcentral is "tRNA-Gly". It matches the Rfam family "tRNA". From Rfam's summary of the family: Transfer RNA (tRNA) molecules are approximately 80 nucleotides in length. Their secondary structure includes four short double-helical elements and three loops (D, anti-codon, and T loops). RNAcentral also lists the same sequence under 1 other name. The record is from RNAcentral. Lineage: Bacteria; Pseudomonadati; Bacteroidota.
GCGGGAGUAGCUCAGUGGUAGAGCAUCAGCUUCCCAAGCUGAGGGUCGCGGGUUCGAUCCCCGUUUCCCGCUC